This 23-nucleotide microRNA is filed under the name Canis lupus familiaris (dog). RNAcentral's name for it is "Cfa-Novel-14_5p* (star (passenger))". The record is from RNAcentral. Lineage: Eukaryota; Metazoa; Chordata; Mammalia; Carnivora; Canidae.
AUCGGGAUGCUGUUUAGAUUGUG